UUAUAGUGUGCGACAGUGGCAUCCAGGCCAGAGGAUCAGGAAGGCCGGAUUCCAUUUCAUUUUCCAGCCUUGCGCCUCCCCUUGCCCCCAGGACACUUCUGCUGGAUUACAACAGGCCAGGCGAAAGGAAUUAGUACUCCACCUCCCAGACGCGCAGUUGCUGGCACAGGAGUUAGAAGAGUGUCAGGUGAAAAAGGAACUCCAUACAGACUGGUCUUACAGCUGCCCUAUUUCACAGAAGUGACAGAUAAUGCUGGGAACCCCCCUCCCCAACACCUUGUAACUAACGGAGUCGCUUUUCUUCCCUGGGAUGCUCUUGGAGUUAAGAAAGAUUUGUUGUAUAACCCUGGCAGCACAUGGCCAUUAGAAAAUACUUAAUUCUGUGACAAUAUGCAAAGGAAAACUGUUGAGAGGUCAGCUAGCUCUGACUGCACGUAUUUUGACUACAAGUACCCGUGACUGAUUGAUCACUCAGUGAAGACUGAGAACUGUGGAAAUUAAUUCAUUGUAUAUCUACAGCACCUCAAUAAGAAUCAUAACUGAAGAGAGCACAAAUUGCUGCAUGUCACUGUACAGGAAGAGAAACGGCAGCUGAUGAGGCUGGAGAACGAUCCUUGGAUCUGGAUGUUGUGCAGUGUGGCAUCUGGACGCUGGCAAACCUACGCUUUAAUUCCAGCUCUUCCACAUACUAGGUUUCAUGGAAGCAGGAAAUAUGGCAGAACAGCUCUGGAUAUACCACUUUGCUGAGCCAGGGCAUGGAGAUACAGCACAGUACAUGAAGAUGGAAGGAAUUCCACAUGGAAGGAGAAAAGUGGGCCACAUUGAACUGUUUAAACUUUUGACUGACUUCGAAUUUAUGCAUUUCCAUGGACUUACAGCUCACCAUAUUUUAAUAUACUACACAGCAUCUUACAAAGAAUUACCGAUAGGCAUAUCAUCAUGAUUAUUUAGAGAAUUGGAAAGAAUUUUUUUCACAAAGGGGUCAUUUACCCUUAGACAAAAUUAGCAUUUAAAUUUGUUGCUUACAAUAUUUGGUUUGUUAUUAUAAUUAUUGUUGAUCUAUGUGACAGUGAAGUUUCUACAUGUAGCCAUAGUGAUUAACAAUUUAGCGAUAAGUACACUAUAACGGAAAUGUUACAGUAGUUAAGAGUUUAGAAUCAGG
Heterocephalus glaber (naked mole-rat) is the source of this 1162-nucleotide long non-coding RNA. The record is from Ensembl. Lineage: Eukaryota; Metazoa; Chordata; Mammalia; Rodentia; Bathyergidae.